CCUACGGGAGGUGCAGUGGGGAAUAUUGCACAAUGGGCGCAAGCCUGAUGCAGCCAUGCCGCGUGUGUGAAGAAGGCCUUCGGGUUGUAAAGCACUUUCAGCGGGGAGGAAGGCGUUAAGGUUAAUAACCUUGUCGAUUGACGUUACCCGCAGAAGAAGCACCGGCUAACUCCGUGCCAGCAGCCGCGGUAAUACGGAGGGCGCAAGCGUUAAUCGGAAUUACUGGGCGUAAAGCGCACGCAGGCGGUCUGUCAAGUCGGAUGUGAAAUCCCCGGGCUCAACCUGGGAACUGCAUUCGAAACUGGCAGGCUAGAGUCUUGUAGAGGGGGGUAGAAUUCCAGGUGUAGCGGUGAAAUGCGUAGAGAUCUGGAGGAAUACCGGCGGCGAAGGCGGCCCCCUAGACAAAGACUGACGCUCAGGUGCGAAAGCGUGGGGAGCAAACAGGAUUAGAUACCCCGGUAGUC
RNAcentral lists this ribosomal RNA (464 nucleotides) under uncultured Klebsiella sp. RNAcentral describes it as "bacterial SSU rRNA". It matches the Rfam family "Bacterial small subunit ribosomal RNA", at positions 338 to 795 of the family's 1533-position model. The record is from RNAcentral. Lineage: Bacteria; Pseudomonadati; Pseudomonadota; Gammaproteobacteria; Enterobacterales; Enterobacteriaceae.